This 742-nucleotide ribosomal RNA is filed under the name uncultured bacterium. Its description in RNAcentral is "bacterial SSU rRNA". It matches the Rfam family "Bacterial small subunit ribosomal RNA", at positions 8 to 796 of the family's 1533-position model. The record is from RNAcentral.
AGAGUUUGAUCCUGGCUCAGAACGAACGCUGGCGGCAGGCUUAACAAAUGCAAGUCGAACGAUGUAGCAAUACAUAGUGGCGCACGGGUGAGUAACGCGUGGGAAUAUACCUUAUAGUGGGGAAUAACUUUGGGAAACUAAAGCUAAUACCGCAUACGCCCGAGAGGGGAAAGAUUUAUCGCUAUAAGAUUAGCCCGCGUGAGAUUAGGUAGUUGGUGGGGUAAUGGCCUACCAAGCCUACGAUCUCUAGCUGGUCUGAGAGGAUGAUCAGCCACACUGGAACUGAGACACGGUCCAGACUCCUACGGGAGGCAGCAGUGGGGAAUAUUGGGCAAUGGAGGAAACUCUGACCCAGCCAUGCCGCGUGAAUGAUGAAGGCCUUAGGGUUGUAAAGUUCUUUCGCCGAUGAAGAUAAUGACGGUAGUCGGAGAAGAAGCCCCGGCUAACUUCGUGCCAGCAGCCGCGGUAAUACGAAGGGGGCUAGCGUUGUUCGGAAUUACUGGGCGUAAAGCGAGCGUAGGUUGCUCGAUAAGUCAGUGGUGAAAGCCCAGAGCUCAACUCUGGAACUGCCAUUGAAACUGUCGAGCUGGAAUCUCAGAGGGGGUAGCGGAAUUCCAAAUGUAGGGGUGAAAUCCGUAGAUAUUUGGAGGAACACCGGUGGCGAAGGCGGCUACCUGGAUGAGUAUUGACACUGAGGCUCGAAAGCGUGGGGAUCAAACAGGAUUAGAUACCCUGGUAGUCC